AACGCACAUUGCGCUCUUUGGUAUUCCGGAGAGCAUGCCUGUUUGAGAAUCAGUAAAUUCAUCAACCCAUUGUUCCGGGAAUUUAUUCCAAGAACUUGAAGGUUGGAUCUGGGCCGUUUGCUGCUUCGGCAGCAAUAGCCUGAAAUUGAAUGUUACGCUCCUAUGGACUGUGAAGUCUUGGGCAAACGCAUGAAUGAGGUAACUCAGAAGUACGUAGGCCUUUGAGAAUGAUCAAUUCUUAGUUGGGUGACUCAACUGAUUAACCAGGGUUUGUGGGCGCAAGCCUGCUUAUUCUGAACACUUGGUCUCAAAUCAGGUAGGAAAACCCGCUGAACUUAA
This 339-nucleotide unclassified non-coding RNA is filed under the name uncultured fungus. Its description in RNAcentral is "partial contains 5.8S ribosomal RNA, internal transcribed spacer 2, and large subunit ribosomal RNA". Lineage: Eukaryota; Fungi. The record is from RNAcentral.